CCAAACAACCUGCUGUCCCAACAUACUGCUGCCCCUGAACACUCCAUUGUGCGAACGCCCUCCUGUAGGGACA
This is a non-coding RNA of Pangasianodon gigas (Mekong giant catfish), 73 nucleotides long. Lineage: Eukaryota; Metazoa; Chordata; Actinopteri; Siluriformes; Pangasiidae. The record is from the annotation of a GenBank genome assembly.